UACGGAGGGUGCAAGCGUUAUCCGGAUUUACUGGGUUUAAAGGGUGCGUAGGUGGGCCUGUAAGUCAGUGGUGAAGUCUUCAAGCUUAACUUGGAAACUGCCAUUGAUACUAUAGGUCUUGAAUUAUCUGGAGGUAAGCGGAAUAUGUCAUGUAGCGGUGAAAUGCUUAGAGAUGACAUAGAACACCCAUUGCGAAGGCAGCUUACUACGGAUUGAUUGACACUGAGGCACGAAAGCGUGGGGAUCAAACAGG
RNAcentral lists this ribosomal RNA (253 nucleotides) under uncultured bacterium. Its description in RNAcentral is "partial 16S ribosomal RNA". It matches the Rfam family "Bacterial small subunit ribosomal RNA", at positions 524 to 776 of the family's 1533-position model. The record is from RNAcentral.